Molecule: ribosomal RNA, 920 nt
Filed under: Inocybe floccipes
Lineage: Eukaryota; Fungi; Basidiomycota; Agaricomycetes; Agaricales; Inocybaceae
Description: Inocybe pusio var. floccipes partial large subunit ribosomal RNA
Rfam family: Eukaryotic large subunit ribosomal RNA
Source: RNAcentral
AUAUCAAUAAGCGGAGGAAAAGAAACUAACAAGGAUUCCCCUAGUAACUGCGAGUGAAGCGGGAAAAGCUCAAAUUUGAAAUCUGGCGGUUCUUGAACUGUCCGAGUUGUAAUCUAGAGAAGUGUUACCUGUGCUGGACCGUGUACAAGUCUCCUGGAAUGGAGCAUCACAGAGGGUGAGAAUCCCGUCUUUGACAUGGACUGCCUGUACGAUAUGGUGCGCUCUCGAAGAGUCGAGUUGUUUGGGAAUGCAGCUCAAAAUGGGUGGUAAAUGCCAUCUAAAGCUAAAUAUUGGCGAGAGACCGAUAGCGAACAAGUACCGUGAGGGAAAGAUGAAAAGAACUUUGGAAAGAGAGUUAAACAGUACGUGAAAUUGCUGAAAGGGAAACGCUUGAAGUCAGUCGCGUCGGCUGGAAAUCAGCCUUGCUUUUGCUUGGUGUACUUUCUGGUUUGACGGGUCAGCAUCAAUUUUGACCACUGGAUAAAGUCGUUGGGAAUGUGGCAUCUUAGGAUGUGUUAUAGCCCAUUGUCGCAUACGGUGGUUGGGAUUGAGGAACUCAGCACGCCCGCAAGGGACGGGUUUUGACCACGUUCGUGCUUAGGAUGCUGGCAUAAUGGCUUUAAUCGACCCGUCUUGAAACACGGACCAAGGAGUCUAACAUGCCUGCGAGUGUUUGGGUGGAAAACCCAUGCGCGCAAUGAAAGUGAAAGUUGAGAUCCCCCCUCAAGGAGGAGCAUUGACGCCCGGACCAGAGCUUCUGUGACGGAUCCGCGGUAGAGCAUGUAUGUUGGGACCCGAAAGAUGGUGAACUAUGCCUGAAUAGGGUGAAGCCAGAGGAAACUCUGGUGGAGGCUCGUAGCGAUUCUGACGUGCAAAUCGAUCGUCAAAUUUGGGUAUAGGGGCGAAAGACUAAUCGAACC